UCCGACUUAACGUCGGCAGUCCUUUUAGAGUGCCCAACUAAAUGCUGGCAACUAAAAGCAAGGGUUGCGCUCGUUGCGGGACUUAACCCAACAUCUCACGACACGAGCUGACGACAGCCAUGCGGCACCUGUGUACCGGCCCUUGCGGGCGACAGCAUCUCUGCUAGUCUUCCAGUACAUGUCAAAAGUAGGUAAGGUUCUUCGCGUUGCAUCGAAUUAAACCACAUACUCCACCGCUUGUGCGGGCCCCCGCCAAUUUCUUUGAGUUUUAACCUUGCGGCCGUACUCCCCAGGCGGAUGACUUAACGCGUUAGCUGCGCCACCGAAACGCUAAGCGCCCCGACAGCUAGUCAUCAUCGUUUACGGCGUGGACUAC
Molecule: unclassified non-coding RNA, 376 nt
Filed under: uncultured Pseudomonadota bacterium
Lineage: Bacteria; Pseudomonadati; Pseudomonadota
Description: uncultured proteobacterium contains 16S-23S intergenic spacer region
Source: RNAcentral